Photinus pyralis (common eastern firefly) is the source of this 333-nucleotide long non-coding RNA. RefSeq lists it as uncharacterized. Lineage: Eukaryota; Metazoa; Arthropoda; Insecta; Coleoptera; Lampyridae. The transcript is spliced from 2 exons. The record is from RefSeq and is a predicted model, not a curated record.
GUUUACAUUCUUAUUUUGUUUACUUCGAUCUUAAAUGUUCUCUUCUUUGCUGUAUGCCAAUUGCAUCGCUGAUUGACUAAUUACACAAUGGAGCAAACAUGGCCACUACAAAUGGUCUUGAGAACAUGGCCAUUCAACAAUCAUGCAUAUGAUGUAAACUGUCUCAUGCACUAAGUGAAUAAUUACAAUGGGAAUCCAAUAGCAUUCAUGAGAAGGUACACGAUCCUGGCGUUUUUAAAUUCUAAGUCUUCUUUAGGUUUAAAAUUGGAUAGAUUGUAAAAGGCGUAUCAAUAAAUUUGGUUUCGAUCACACGUUAACCAAUUUCAGGUAAAA